Molecule: long non-coding RNA, 1183 nt
Filed under: Anas platyrhynchos platyrhynchos (common mallard)
Lineage: Eukaryota; Metazoa; Chordata; Aves; Anseriformes; Anatidae
Description: lncRNA (ENSAPLG00000019980.1)
Source: RNAcentral
UCUCGUGCCUCCUGCUGACGGCGCUCCUUGGCCGUGUGUGCUGAGCGUCCCGGCUUCAAAGGAAUAUUUAACAGAGGGGAGAGCGUGGGGUGGGCAAGUUCCUGCUCUAAAUCUGGGAGGCUGCUUUAAUUGCUAGCUUAUCCCAUUAAAUGUUCUUAAAAUGGCUCGUGUCAGUUUUUGCAAGCCGGUGGAGCGGUGGCGGUGUCCUCCAGGAGCUGUUCCUUCGCAGAGGGCUGUGCCAGCAUCCCCAGAGUGAAUGUGUCUGCUCUGUCACCACUUUCAUCUGUUGGUGACUUCGGCCUUACCCAGCUGAGGUCUGCGUGUUGAGGAUUUCUGAGGCUGGGGCUGCAAAAAGACUCAGCUUGCUUGGGUUUCCUGGUGACUUGCUUCCAGGUCAGCGCGAGGGCUGAGCUGGGGCUGGCAGAGGUCCUUGGGGAAGCUGUCCCUGCCUCCAGUGACCCCAUCUCGGGUGUGCUGGGCUGCAGGGGCACGUGGCUGCCAUCGCUGCUGCUCUGGGAAGGGUUUGAAAGCCGGGCUGCUGCAGCCCCCUUGGUCUCAUCACACUUUGUUUGUGCGAGGCGAGGCGCCCAGCCUACGUGGCCGCUUUAUUGGUAGGGCGUGGAAAUGAAAGGCUGGCUGCGUGCGUGUGCACCCACACCCAUCGCUCCCCCAGGGAGACGGUGCCGUGGAUAAUAACCAGGCCUAAAUACCCCUCGUAACGCUGCUCAUUAGCAGAUAGGCCUUCCACAGGCAGGGGGGAGCUGAGUCAGUGCUGCCCUGUGCGACAAAUACCCGGAGGUGCUGACCGAGGGGCCGGGGAAGGGUUUCCAUCUGGAGCAGAUUUGGGGCUCUGAACCCAGGAGUCGAAGUCUGACAGUCCCUGGGACCGUGGCUCAGGUGAAACGGUGUCACUGGUGGACGUGGACAUCUCCCAGCGAGGACUGACCUCCCCUCACCCUCCAACGCCGCCGCCUCCUCCUCGACGAAGCCUCAGCCUGCUAGGUACGGCCCCGUGCCUCUGGAGAGCCCGUCCGUGUGUCUGUCAGGAGCACGGGAGCUGUCUGUCUGCCCGUGCUGCUCCCCUGCCCCAGCAGGAUUUCUUGCUGGUGUCGGUGUUUCUUGGAGAUGGGGCAGGAGGGGAGGGUUGUGGUGGAGCUGUGCGAGGUGGGACGUGAGGUGCUGG